CGCACCUUGCGCCCUUUGGUAUUCCGAAGGGCAUGCCUGUUUGAGUGUCAUUAAAUUCUCAACCUUGAAAGCUUUGUUGCUUUCAAGGCUUGGAUGUGAGGGUUUUUGCUGGCUUCCUUCAUUGGCGGUCUGCUCCCUUUAAAUGCAUUAGUGGGUUUCAGUUUUGUGAAGACCUUCACUUGGUGUGAUAAUUGUCAUCGCCGUUUGAAUGGACUAGUAGCAGACAUUUAUUGAAGCUUGCUUAUAACCGUCCGUAAACAGUUGCACUUUGUCAAGUCUCGAGUUAGAAGGGUUUGCGAUUUAGCUCCCUUUGAAUCAGUUCGAACUUGCAGAGACCGCAAUGGACAAUUUCUUGACCAAUUUGACCUCAAAUCAGGUAGGACUACCCGCUGAACUUAA
RNAcentral lists this unclassified non-coding RNA (399 nucleotides) under Mycena sp. Its description in RNAcentral is "partial contains 5.8S ribosomal RNA, internal transcribed spacer 2, and large subunit ribosomal RNA". Lineage: Eukaryota; Fungi; Basidiomycota; Agaricomycetes; Agaricales; Mycenaceae. The record is from RNAcentral.